This 411-nucleotide unclassified non-coding RNA is filed under the name Hevea brasiliensis (rubber tree). The record is from RNAcentral. Lineage: Eukaryota; Viridiplantae; Streptophyta; Magnoliopsida; Malpighiales; Euphorbiaceae.
UUCAAAUUCACAUAUAUAUGUUCUUCGCAACUCAAAUCCACAUCUCCGAUUGCUUCUCCAAGCACCAUCGUCUUAUUGUUGAUCCGCACACAAUAAGACAAUGCUUGAGAAAGAGUUUUUCAAUGGAGAGGCGAAUCAGUACGAGAUUCAGGAAGUGAUUGGGAAGGGAAGCUAUGGAGUUGUGGCCUCCGCUAUAGACACUCAUACCGGAGAGAAGGUGGCUAUCAAGAAGAUGAACGAUAUUUUUGAGCACGUCUCUGAUGCCACGCGCAUUCUGCGAGAGAUCAAGCUUCUCCGCCUCCUCAGACACCCUGAUAUUGUUGAAAUCAAGCACAUAAUGCUUCCUCCAUCGCCUAGAGAGUUCAAGGAUAUUUAUGUCGUUUUUGAAUUGAUGGAAUCUGAUCUUCACCA